Long non-coding RNA from Phasianus colchicus (ring-necked pheasant), 2526 nucleotides. Lineage: Eukaryota; Metazoa; Chordata; Aves; Galliformes; Phasianidae. The record is from Ensembl.
AACAGCCCCAUUUCUGGGUUGGGAGAAGUGAGGGAUUCCUGCCCUUGCGCUGUGGGUCACAGAAUCACAGAAUUGUAGGGGUUGGAAGGGACCUCCAGAGAUCGAGUCCAACCCCCCUACCAAAGCAGUUCCCUACACCAGGUUGCACAAGUAGGCAUCCAGGCAGGUCUUGAAUAGCUCCAGAGAAGGAGACUCCACAACCUCCCUGGGCAGCCUGUUCCAGUGCUCCAUCACCUCACCAUAAAGAAAUUUUUGCGCACAAUUGUGCGGAACUUCAGGGUCAGGGCAGCACCACACCUGGAAGCACUGCUGGUGCUGCUGCCCAAGGCCUCUGCCCACCCCCUGCCUCCCCCAAACCCAUCUCCAUUUCAUUUGCAAACUCAUUUCAUGAUGGAGCAGAAAUGCCAAUCAGUGGCACAGCCAUCAGCACACGAGCAUCCCCAAUCUGCAUUAGGCGGCCGGGCAGCCUUCCAGAGCACCAGCUACAACACAUGAAUUAUUGCCCAAACAUUACUGCUGUCAGCACAUUCCUCUCUACACAACUUCCUAUUAUUAUUUUUUUGGCAGACAACCCUGAAAUUUUAAACAGCUCAAUCUUGCUAAAGUGAUGCAACUGCUCGCUGCCUCCAGGAGGAACUUCUGAAAACCAACAACAAUCCUUCCACCGAGAAUAGCAACAAAAAGCCCCAAACGCUCCUCGUGCUGCUUCUUUGUUUUGGUGUCUCCGGCAUCUCCGACUUCCACUCUAAUUUGCAGUAACAGCCUUUUAUUUGUCUUGCGAAGGGAAUAAAGAGACUUAAGGGAUCCUUAAGCUUCAGUGACAGCACAGAAGCGGCGGUAACACGGCAGGCAGGGUCGGAGCGCUGCUGCCCGCGUUCAGCUCAUUAAGAGAAAUGUGCACUGAGUGCCAUUUGCUUUGAAGUUGUUUGUGCUGCUGUGAUUCAUUCAGAGAACGCAAGAGUCCGAGAAGAGCUACAAAUGGCCUUAAAAACCCCUGGAAGCGAGGUAUUCUGUUUGUCGGUGUUGGAGCAGCUGCAGCACCACCAGGGAGGCAGCAAUGAGGUGAGCAGGCCUGAUGGGCACCAGGGCAACUUGCGAGCCUGUGGCACAGAGCCCAGCACAGCGGAGGAGAGAAGGGCAAGAACACAAAGCCAGCAAAGAACAGAGCCUUUGGGGGAAGCUUGGAGGCAUGGUUUGAACGCAUCCUCUAUGCAUGGCCCCAUUCCAGCAUCAGCCUGCUUCGCCCAGCACAAGAGCUCCCAGGUAGGAGGUGCUGGGAGAGCAGAACUCAGCAAAUGGGCGUGCAAAGCUUUUCCACCCACAGCCCAAACCAAAGCAAUUUGCAGCAGGCAUCACGCUGGUUCUGCUUACGCACAAAAGUGCUCGAUGCUGUGCGAGUGUCCAAAGCUCAGUUUCAGACCCCAUUAAACAUUAGGGCUGUCAGCCAGAAGGCAGCCACAACAAAAGAUCCAAACGUUAUUUCUGAAGCAUGAGCAGAAAGGCUUCCUUUGUAAAAGCAUUUGGUUUCUCUGAAAACAAACUCUUUAAAAGCAAUGAAAUUUUACUCUGGAGUCACCAGUCUCUCCAUCUUCACAAUGGGGACCUUGACCAGCAACACAGAGUCGGUACCAUGCACACAAGCAGCAUUUAUUUUCUUCAUUUAUUUUGUUGUCCCAUCUGAGCUCAUUCCCAUGGGAGAGCUGCUGUACCAUGGCUUGCAUCACAGCACCCUUAGCAAUAACCCAGAGCUGCACACACCGACAUACCUGACCCUCAGCACACAGCUCCUGCCUGUGGGUACAGAUGUAUUUCCCACAGACUGAACCGUGCUGCUUCAGAAUCUUUACACAGAGGAUGGCAGAGCAAGAUUUGUAGGGACAAAGUACUCGGAGAGAAUAUUAAACCAAAUAAUGGCAAUUAAUUAGGCUUGUGUAAAGCUAUUAACCUUCCAAUCCCUAUGGAAAUAACAAGCGAUGCUCGAAUCCUCUGGGAUGCAGACGAUAUUACCUCAUUCCAUGGAAGAGGAAGCCAAGAUGCAGAGCAGUGAUUUUGCCCAGGCUAUGCUGCAGUCGGGCUGGAGGGGGGCACAGCCCCCUCCUAUUGCACAGCCAAUCUGCUGCCUUUCCAUCCAGCCACUCAGGUUUAAGUGAUACCCACACGCACAUCUCCAACCCCACAUAACUGAUUAUUACAGCCCAACACACCACAGUUACGGAUUACUUUGCACCAUACAGAAGUGGGAUUUGCUGGUCCAGGUGCUCCCUAUUGGAUUUUUCCUCUCCAACCCCCCCAGCCCUGUGCAGCGGUCAGCCUGCAGGCUCCCUCCCCACCUCCUCCUCCUCAAUAUUAGCACUGCACACACACAUAUUAAAAACAAUCUUAAUAUUCUCCUAAGCACUCUCCCCAAAUGCCUUUCCCAGCUUCUCUGGGCAGCACAUAAGACCAAAAAUCUGGGCAUCAGCUAAACCCAGAACCCUCUCCGGGGUGUUACAGCCCAGCCCCAAUAAAUCUUGCAGAAUUUUUGCA